GAUGAACGCUGGCGGCGUGCCUAAUACAUGCGAGUCGAGCGAACAGACGAGGAGCUUGCUCCUCUGACGUUAGCGGCGGACGGGAGAGUAACACGUGGAUAACCUACCUAUAAGACUGGGAUAACUUCGGGAAACCGGAGCUAAUACCGGAUAAUAUAUUGAACCGCAUGGUUCAAUAGUGAAAGACGGUUUUGCUGUCACUUAUAGAUGGAUCCGCGCCGCAUUAGCUAGUUGGUAAGGUAACGGCUUACCAAGGCAACGAUGCGUAGCCGACCUGAGAGGGUGAUCGGCCACACUGGAACUGAGACACGGUCCAGACUCCUACGGGAGGCAGCAGUAGGGAAUCUUCCGCAAUGGGCGAAAGCGUGACGGAGCAACGCCGCGUGAGUGAUGAAGGUCUUCGGAUCGUAAAACUCUGUUAUUAGGGAAGAACAAAUGUGUAAGUAACUAUGCACGUCUUGACGGUACCUAAUCAGAAAGCCACGGCUAACUACGUG
This 497-nucleotide ribosomal RNA is filed under the name uncultured bacterium. Its description in RNAcentral is "partial 16S ribosomal RNA". It matches the Rfam family "Bacterial small subunit ribosomal RNA", at positions 28 to 507 of the family's 1533-position model. The record is from RNAcentral.